Molecule: transfer RNA, 73 nt
Filed under: Madascincus sp. CaNew Betampona
Lineage: Eukaryota; Metazoa; Chordata; Lepidosauria; Squamata; Scincidae
Description: tRNA-Ile
Rfam family: tRNA
About the family: Transfer RNA (tRNA) molecules are approximately 80 nucleotides in length. Their secondary structure includes four short double-helical elements and three loops (D, anti-codon, and T loops). Further hydrogen bonds mediate the characteristic L-shaped molecular structure. tRNAs have two regions of fundamental functional importance: the anti-codon, which is responsible for specific mRNA codon recognition, and the 3' end, to which the tRNAs corresponding amino acid is attached (by aminoacyl-tRNA synthetases). tRNAs cope with the degeneracy of the genetic code in two manners: having more than one tRNA (with a specific anti-codon) for a particular amino acid; and 'wobble' base-pairing, i.e. permitting non-standard base-pairing at the 3rd anti-codon position.
Source: RNAcentral
AUGGAAGUGUGCCUGAACUUCAAGGGCUACUUUGAUAGAGUAAACAACAGGGGUUAAAAUCCCCUCACUUCCU